AUUGAACGCUGGCGGCAUGCUUUACACAUGCAAGUCGAACGGCAGCACGGGGGCAACCCUGGUGGCGAGUGGCGAACGGGUGAGUAAUAUAUCGGAACGUACCCCGGAAAUGGGGGAUAACGUAGCGAAAGUUACGCUAAUACCGCAUAUGCCCUAAGGGGGAAAGCGGGGGACUCGCAAGAACCUCGCGUUUUCGGAGCGGCCGAUAUCGGAUUAGCUAGUAGGUGAGGUAAAGGCUCACCUAGGCGACGAUCCGUAGCUGGUCUGAGAGGACGACCAGCCACACUGGAACUGAGACACGGUCCAGACUCCUACGGGAGCAGCAGUGGGGAAUUUUGGACAAUGGGCGCAAGCCUGAUCCAGCCAUGCCGCGUGAGUGAAGAAGGCC
This 388-nucleotide ribosomal RNA is filed under the name uncultured bacterium. RNAcentral describes it as "bacterial SSU rRNA". It matches the Rfam family "Bacterial small subunit ribosomal RNA", at positions 30 to 416 of the family's 1533-position model. The record is from RNAcentral.